RNAcentral lists this ribosomal RNA (190 nucleotides) under uncultured Methanolinea sp. RNAcentral's name for it is "partial 16S ribosomal RNA". It matches the Rfam family "Archaeal small subunit ribosomal RNA", at positions 1153 to 1334 of the family's 1478-position model. Lineage: Archaea; Methanobacteriati; Methanobacteriota; Methanomicrobia; Methanomicrobiales; Methanoregulaceae. The record is from RNAcentral.
GCCCCGAAUUAUCCGGGCUACACGCGGGCUACAAUGGUCAGGACGAAUGGGUAUCGACACCGGAGAGGUGGAGGCAAUCUCCUAAACCUGUCCUUAGUUCGGAUUGUGGGCUGCAACUCGCCCUCAUGAAGCUGGAAUCCGUAGUAAUCGCGUUUCAACAGAACGCGGUGAAUACGUCCCUGCCGUCCUU